This 286-nucleotide long non-coding RNA is filed under the name Pectinophora gossypiella (pink bollworm). RNAcentral describes it as "uncharacterized LOC126368250". The record is from RNAcentral. Lineage: Eukaryota; Metazoa; Arthropoda; Insecta; Lepidoptera; Gelechiidae.
UUUUUUUUUCUUUUUAGGUAUAUACUAAGUUAAUGCUAUCCAGCCAGCGUGGAGUGUCGGCCGUCCAGGAGGGGAGGCGCGACAGUAGAUGCGCGCGCAGAUGCCCUCGGCCGGCCGUGGACCAACCACGAGCGGUGGACCAACGGGCUGCGCCGGCGUUCAUCACGCGAUGCGCGGGAACAGAUAUGAGCCACACACACUGCAACGUUUGUCACAUCUGCAUACUUUUUCAACAACAUUGCGAUGCAUUAAUACGGUAAGUAAACGAAACAUCAUCUAAAGGGCG